ACGAGCGACAUUCAUCCCGCCAACAGCCAGUGCCUCAAUCUGCUCGGCCGCACACGUCGCAGGGCCAAUCGUGCAGAUCAGCUUCGUCCUCCGGGUGCUCCGGAACCCGUUCUCCUUCAUCUCCGCCUCCGUGACGGCGUCCACGUCGAUCGAGGCCGUCGCGAGGCUGGCGCCGUUGUCGGACGCGAGGAGGGAGGGAGCAUCCAACGACGCGCGGCAGAUCUGGAGGCGGAGGCGGCGGUGGGGGAGGCGGAGGAGGGGGGUGACCCGGAGGUUGGGGGAGAGGGAGGGGGAGGGGAUCUUGGAGAGGGGGCUGGCGGGGGCCCUGGGGGCGAGGAGCUGGAGAGACUGAGACAUCGCCGGAACCCUAGGCGGCGGAGGAGAUCGACGGCGGCGAAUGCAAGGGUUUGGAGAGGGAGUGA
Molecule: unclassified non-coding RNA, 422 nt
Filed under: Hevea brasiliensis (rubber tree)
Lineage: Eukaryota; Viridiplantae; Streptophyta; Magnoliopsida; Malpighiales; Euphorbiaceae
Source: RNAcentral